Molecule: long non-coding RNA, 433 nt
Filed under: Homo sapiens (human)
Lineage: Eukaryota; Metazoa; Chordata; Mammalia; Primates; Hominidae
Description: non-protein coding lnc-KRT76-1:1
Source: RNAcentral
CCUGGGGCUUUGGGGGUUCGGGGGCCUUUCUCUUUGGCAUCUAGGAGGUGACCAUCAACCAGAGCUCCCUGCAGCCCCUGAAUGUGGGGAUUGACCCCUAGAUUGAGAAGGUAAAGACCAAGGAAGACCCUCAACAAAUUUGCUUCCUUUGUUGACAAGGUGCGGUUCCUGGAGCAGCAGAACAAGGUUCUGGAGACCAAGUGGUGUCUCCUGCAGUAGACGGCCAAGGCUAGUGCCAAUGACCUGCAGCCCUUCUUGGAGUCCUACAUUGGCUGCCUCCAAGCCUACCUGGACAAGCUACUGAUGGAACAGAGCCUGCUGGAUGGGGAGCUGGGCACCAUGCAGGCACUCGUGGAGGAGUACAAGAGGAGGGUAUGAGGAUGAAUUUAACAAGUACUCAGAGGCUGAUAAUGACUUCAUGGUUCUGAAGAAG